RNAcentral lists this ribosomal RNA (497 nucleotides) under uncultured bacterium. RNAcentral describes it as "partial 16S ribosomal RNA". It matches the Rfam family "Bacterial small subunit ribosomal RNA", at positions 28 to 507 of the family's 1533-position model. The record is from RNAcentral.
GAUGAACGCUGGCGGCGUGCCUAAUACAUGCAAGUCGAGCGAACAGACGAGGAGCUUGCUCCUCUGACGUUAGCGGCGGACGGGUGAGUAAAACGUGGAUAACCUACCUAUAAGACUGGGAUAACUUCGGGAAACCGGAGCUAAUACCGGAUAACAUGUUGAACCGCAUGGUUCAACAGUGAAAGACGGUCUUGCUGUCACUUAUAGAUGGAUCCGCGCCGCAUUAGCUAGUUGGUAAGGUAACGGCUUACCAAGGCAACGAUGCGUAGCCGACCUGAGAGGGUGAUCGGCCACACUGGAACUGGGACACGGUCCAGACUCCUACGGGAGGCAGCGGUAGGGAAUCUUCCGCAAUGGGCGAAAGCCUGACGGAGCAACGCCGCGUGAGUGAAGAAGGUCUUCGGAUCGUAAGACUCUGUUAUUAGGGAAGAACAAAUGUGUAAGUAACUAUGCGCGUCUUGACGGUACCUAAUCAGAAAGCCACGGCUAACUACGUG